GACGAACGCUGGCGGCGUGCUUAACACAUGCAAGUCGAACGGAAAGGCCCUGCUUUUGUGGGGUGCUCGAGUGGCGAACGGGUGAGUAACACGUGAGUAACCUGCCCUUGACUUUGGGAUAACUUCAGGAAACUGGGGCUAAUACCGGAUAGGAGCUCCUGCUGCAUGGUGGGGGUUGGAAAGUUUCGGCGGUUGGGGAUGGACUCGCGGCUUAUCAGCUUGUUGGUGGGGUAGUGGCUUACCAAGGCUUUGACGGGUAGCCGGCCUGAGAGGGUGACCGGCCAAAUGGGGACGGAGAUACGGCCCAGACUCCUCCGGGGGGGAGGAGGGGGGAAUAUUGCACAAGGGGGGGAAGCCUGAUGCAGCAACGCCGCGUGGGGGAUGACGGCUUUCGGUUUGUAAACCUCUUUCGCCUGGGAAGAAGCGGGAGUGACGGUAAUGGGAAAAAAAGCGCCGGCUAACUACGUG
RNAcentral lists this ribosomal RNA (468 nucleotides) under uncultured bacterium. Its description in RNAcentral is "partial 16S ribosomal RNA". It matches the Rfam family "Bacterial small subunit ribosomal RNA", at positions 28 to 507 of the family's 1533-position model. The record is from RNAcentral.